This 858-nucleotide ribosomal RNA is filed under the name uncultured bacterium. RNAcentral describes it as "bacterial SSU rRNA". It matches the Rfam family "Bacterial small subunit ribosomal RNA", at positions 60 to 914 of the family's 1533-position model. The record is from RNAcentral.
AGUCGAACGGCAGCACGGGGCAACCUGGUGGCGAGUGGCGAACGGGUGAGUAAUAUAUCGGAACGUACCCUGGAGUGGGGGAUAACGUAGCGAAAGUUACGCUAAUACCGCAUACGAUCUAAGGAUGAAAGUGGGGGAUUCGCAAGAACCUCAUGCUCCUGGAGCGGCCGAUAUCUGAUUAGCUAGUUGGUGGGGUAAAGGCUCACCAAGGCUUCGAUCAGUAGCUGGUCUGAGAGGACGACCAGCCACACUGGAACUGAGACACGGUCCAGACUCCUACGGGAGGCAGCAGUGGGGAAUUUUGGACAAUGGGCGCAAGCCUGAUCCAGCAAUGCCGCGUGAGUGAAGAAGGCCUUCGGGUUGUAAAGCUCUUUUGUCAGGGAAGAAACGGUGAGGGCUAAUAUCCCUUGCUAAUGACGGUACCUGAAGAAUAAGCACCGGCUAACUACGUGCCAGCAGCCGCGGUAAUACGUAGGGUGCAAGCGUUAAUCGGAAUUACUGGGCGUAAAGCGUGCGCAGGCGGUUUUGUAAGUUUGUCGUGAAAGCCCCGGGCUCAACCUGGGAAUUGCGAUGAAGACUGCAAGGCUUGAAUCUGGCAGAGGGGGGUAGAAUUCCACGUGUAGCAGUGAAAUGCGUAGAGAUGUGGAGGAACACCGAUGGCGAAGGCAGCCCCCUGGGUCAAGAUUGACGCUCAUGCACGAAAGCGUGGGGAGCAAACAGGAUUAGAUACCCUGGUAGUCCACGCCCUAAACGAUGUCUACUAGUUGUCGGGUUUUAAUUAACUUGGUAACGCAGCUAACGCGUGAAGUAGACCGCCUGGGGAGUACGGUCGCAAGAUUAAAACUCAAAGGAAUUGAC